Molecule: ribosomal RNA, 497 nt
Filed under: uncultured bacterium
Lineage: Bacteria
Description: partial 16S ribosomal RNA
Rfam family: Bacterial small subunit ribosomal RNA
Source: RNAcentral
GAUGAACGCUGGCGGCGUGCCUAAUACAUGCAAGUCGAGCGAACAGACGAGGAGCUUGCUCCUCUGACGUUAGCGGCGGACGGGUGAGUAACACGUGGAUAACCUACCUAUAAGACUGGGAUAACUUCGGGAAACCGGAGCUAAUACCGGAUAAUAUAUUGAACCGCAUGGUUCAAUAGUGAAAGACGGUUUUGCUGUCACUUAUAGAUGGAUCCGCGCCGCAUUAGCUAGUUGGUAAGGUAACGGCUUACCAAGGCGACGAUGCGUAUCCGACCUGAGAGGGUGAUCGGCCACACUGGAACUGAGACACGGUCCAGACUCCUACGGGAGGCAGCAGUAGGGAAUCUUCCGCAAUGGGCGAAAGCCUGACGGAGCAACGCCGCGUGAGUGAUGAAGGUCUUCGGAUCGUAAAACUCUGUUAUUAGGGAAGAACAAAUGUGUAAGUAACUAUGCACGUCUUGACGGUACCUAAUCAGAAAGCCACGGCUAACUACGUG